RNAcentral lists this ribosomal RNA (492 nucleotides) under uncultured bacterium. RNAcentral's name for it is "partial 16S ribosomal RNA". It matches the Rfam family "Bacterial small subunit ribosomal RNA", at positions 29 to 507 of the family's 1533-position model. The record is from RNAcentral.
AGUGAACGCUGGCGGUAGGCCUAACACAUGCAAGUCGAACGGCAGCACAGUAAGAGCUUGCUCUUACGGGUGGCGAGUGGCGGACGGGUGAGGAAUACAUCGGAAUCUACUUUUUCGUGGGGGAUAACGUAGGGAAACUUACGCUAAUACCGCAUACGACCUACGGGUGAAAGCAGGGGAUCUUCGGACCUUGCGCGAUUGAAUGAGCCGAUGUCGGAUUAGCUAGUUGGCGGGGUAAAGGCCCACCAAGGCGACGAUCCGUAGCUGGUCUGAGAGGAUGAUGGGCGGCAGUGGAGGUGAGAAUCGGACCAGAGUCCUACGGGAGGCACCAGUGUGGAAUGUGGGACAAGGGGGUCAAGGGUUAGCCAGGCAUACCGCGUGGGAGAAGAAGGCCUUCGGUUUGUAAAGCCCUUUUGUGGGGAAAGAAAAGCAGCAGGUUAAUACCCCGCUGUUCUGACGGUACCCAAUGAAUAAGCACCGGCUAACUUCGUG